GGCGGACGGGUGAGUAACGCGUGAGCAACCUGCCCUUCGGAACGGGAUAGUGUCUGGAAACGGACAGUAAUACCGUAUAACAUAUAUUGAUCGCAUGGUCGAUAUAUCAAAACUGAGGUGCCGAAGGAUGGGCUCGCGUCUGAUUAGAUAGUUGGUGGGGUAACGGCCUACCAAGUCGACGAUCAGUAGCCGGACUGAGAGGUUGAACGGCCACAUUGGGACUGAGACACGGCCCAGACUCCUACGGGAGGCAGCAGUGGGGAAUAUUGCACAAUGGGGGAAACCCUGAUGCAGCAACGCCGCGUGAAGGAAGACGGUUUUCGGAUUGUAAACUUCUGUUCUUAGUGAAGAAUAAUGACGGUAGCUAAGGAGCAAGCCACGGCUAACUACGUGCCAGCAGCCGCGGUAAUACGUAGGUGGCAAGCGUUGUCCGGAAUUACUGGGUGUAAAGGGAGCGUAGGCGGGAUGCCAAGUCAGCUGUGAAAACUAUGGGCUUAACUUG
This 502-nucleotide ribosomal RNA is filed under the name uncultured bacterium. RNAcentral's name for it is "bacterial SSU rRNA". It matches the Rfam family "Bacterial small subunit ribosomal RNA", at positions 97 to 616 of the family's 1533-position model. The record is from RNAcentral.